CCUGUAAAAAUCAUAUAACAUUCAUAAUUUACAUUCAAUAUUAUUCACUAAAUUCAUUCAACAUUAAUAAUUAAAAUCAUCUAACAUUCAACAAAUAUAACAUCUUAUUCCUAACACAACAUUAAUUCAUGAUCUAAUAUCUAAAAUUGAAAGAGAAUUCAUAAGGAGCUGAACAAGAGGAGUUGGAGUCGGAACUUGAGGAGUAUUGCUAUCUUUCCCUUCUAGCACCAUCAUUGAAUCCUUAUUCCGGAACAGUUGACAAUUUAAUAUAGACUGAAAUAAAAAAUAAUUCUAAAUUAAGAAGAUUUAUUAGUAAAAACGUAUUUUAAAUUUGAAAAUCCAAUGUUUCUAAUCAAAUUAAAAGUAGAAUAUGCAUCUCUAUUACUAAAAUAAACAUGUCAAAUUUUUAAAAUGUAGAUAGUUAUAACUUGUAAAGAUAAACAGAACCUUUUAAGUAAACUCUUAACUUGGAUAUUCCUAUUAACUAAAGUACUAAACAAUAUCCCCCACAAGUAAAAAAUACCUGAUUUUGUUCAAAAUACCUGAUUCUGUUCACAAAAAAUUUGAAUAAGUAAAGAAUUAGUUAGUAUAUUUAAAAUACCUGAAACAGGAUCUUCCACACACUAUAUCAAUCUAAAAAAUAGACAUUUAUACAUAAACAUAAUUAACAUACAUUGACAUACAUUUUAUACAUAACUGAUGAACUCGGAAAAUACCUAGUGUGUCCCGUCCAUGAGAACCAGCUUCCUUUCGGAAACAUGUCGACGUUCCAGCAUACGCAUUGUGAGUUUGUGACAAUAAAUAUUUCAUAGACAUGGUGUUUUUUAUUUUGAAUUCUGAAAUAGCUAAUAUAUUGUAUAUACACACCUCUUGGGUACAUUAGAUGGAUAAAGUCGAUCACCAAGAUGGUAAGCACACAAUGGCUGUUCAGCAGUAGCAAUCAAAUAUUAAUCAUCUCCUUCUCCUGUGACCUGGUGAAACAUAGACAGUGAAGUUAGAGUCCAGAAGUGAAAUUAUUUAUUUACAUCUAAAACCAUGAAACCAAACUGAUUGAAAUAGAAAAAACACAGUUAACUGAAAACCUGAUUUAGUUUCAGACAUUCAGUAACCAUACACCUAAAAAACUUUGUUAGUGUUUUCAAUAAAAAAACAAAAUGGAUUCCUAAUCUAACUAAUUCCAUUAUCUAGUUAAUGUGUAUUGAACUAUAUUCACUGCAUU
RNAcentral lists this long non-coding RNA (1219 nucleotides) under Zostera marina. RNAcentral describes it as "long non-coding RNA (ZMAR_LNC003357)". Lineage: Eukaryota; Viridiplantae; Streptophyta; Magnoliopsida; Alismatales; Zosteraceae. The record is from RNAcentral.